RNAcentral lists this small RNA (557 nucleotides) under Pongo abelii (Sumatran orangutan). Its description in RNAcentral is "processed transcript". The record is from RNAcentral. Lineage: Eukaryota; Metazoa; Chordata; Mammalia; Primates; Hominidae.
CUUUCCUUCUUUUAAAGACAGAAUCUCACUCUGUCACCCAGGCUGGAGUGCAAUGUCUGGAUCUCAGAUCACUACAAUCUCCACCUCCCGGGUUCAAGCAAUUCUCUUGCCUCAGCCUCCCGAGUAGCUGGGAUUACGGGCGCCCGCCACCACACCCGGCUAAUUUUUGUAUUUUAGUACAGACGGGGUUUCUCCAUGUUGGCCAGGCUGGUCUCCAACGCCUGACCUCAAGUGAUCCGCCCGCCUUGGCCUCCCAAAGAGCCAGGAUUACAGGCGUAAGCCACCGCCCCCGGCUGUCAGUGUGUCUUGAGGUCUUUCCCUAAUCCCAGAUGGCACAAGUUUUCCCUCUUGCAGCCAGAGAAAGGAGCCUUGGGAAGGAGCCCCUCUGGCCUGAAAGAUCAAGCCUGUUGCUGGGCAUGGCCAGUGAGCCUCCGCCGCAGCCCAGGAAGCCAGCCGGGACGCCGCCGCCCCGGACCCCGCGCCCUAACCUACACCUCGGGAGCCUGCACCCCGAGAUUGAAUCGGGAAUUCCGGAAACCCGAGCCUGAAACCCUGAU